RNAcentral lists this long non-coding RNA (394 nucleotides) under Rattus norvegicus (Norway rat). RNAcentral describes it as "long non-coding RNA NONRATT026152". The record is from RNAcentral. Lineage: Eukaryota; Metazoa; Chordata; Mammalia; Rodentia; Muridae.
UAAGACUGAGUGGUCCUAGGACUCCCAGAGGCCUAAGGCCUGGUAGCUACAGCUUCACGAACCCCUCCCCCAUCUUCCAAUAGGGUACCCCAAGGACACAUGGACCCAGCUCCUUUGACUUGCAGAUGAAGUUUGUGUGUGGUCAGUGUUGGAGGAAUGGGCAGGUGGUGGAGCCCGAUAAGGACCUCAAGUACUGCAGCGCCAAGGCCCGGCAUUGCUGGACCAAGGAGAGGCGGGUCCUUCUGGUGAUGUCCAAGGCCAAGAGGAAAUGGGUGUCUGUGAGGCCACUGCCAUCCAUUCGAAACUUCCCACAGCAAUACGAUCUCUGCAUCCAUGCCCAGAACGGCCGCAAAUGCCAGUACGUGGGGAACUGCUCCUUCGCACACAGCCCUGA